RNAcentral lists this long non-coding RNA (205 nucleotides) under Citrus sinensis (sweet orange). RNAcentral's name for it is "long non-coding RNA (CSIN_LNC004245)". The record is from RNAcentral. Lineage: Eukaryota; Viridiplantae; Streptophyta; Magnoliopsida; Sapindales; Rutaceae.
AAAAAAAAGGAUGAACUACAAGUGCUUAUCCUUGAAGCUUAUUGAUCCCAAAUGAAAUUGUGCAAACCAUAAGUCCAAGCAAAGCCAAGAAUCCAUAUUUCCUGCACAUGAAUUAUUAAAAAUGACAUUAAAUGCAUGUAUAAAUCAUCAAAAUUAACUAGGAUUGUUCCAUUAAACUUAAUAAAUACAUCCAAGAUUCACUUUA